Molecule: ribosomal RNA, 464 nt
Filed under: uncultured bacterium
Lineage: Bacteria
Description: bacterial SSU rRNA
Rfam family: Bacterial small subunit ribosomal RNA
Source: RNAcentral
GACGACGCUGGCGGCGUGCUUAAAACAUGCAAGUCGAACGGACUUCUCAUGAAGCUUGCGAUUGAGAAGUUAGUGGCGGAUGGGUGAGUAACGCGUGGGCAACCUGCCCCUGAGCCCGGGAUAACAGUCCGAAAGGACUGCUAAGACCGGAUAUACUUGCGGUGAAGCAUUUCACUGCAAGGAAAGGGAACGCUCAGGGAUGGGCCCGCGUCCCAUUAGCUAGUUGGUGAGGUAACGGCCCACCAAGGCGACGAUGGGUAGCCGGCCUGAGAGGGUGAACGGCCACACUGGGACUGAGACACGGCCCAGACUCCUACGGGAGGCAGCAGUUGGGAAUCUUCGGCAAUGGGCGCAAGCCUGACCGAGCAACGCCGCGUGAGUGAUGAAGGUUUUCGGAUUGUAAAGCUCUGUCUUCCGGGACGAUAAUGACGGUACCGGAGGAGGAAGCCACGGCUAACUACGUG